Molecule: long non-coding RNA, 3119 nt
Filed under: Cyanistes caeruleus (blue tit)
Lineage: Eukaryota; Metazoa; Chordata; Aves; Passeriformes; Paridae
Description: lncRNA (ENSCCEG00000005727.1)
Source: RNAcentral
GCAGAUUUUAUAAAUUAAUUCAGGUUUUCUUGGCUGAACAGGAAAAGUUGUUGGCUUGAUCUACAGGAAUUACUUGAAAUGGUAGGAAAAUCCAAGUUAAAACAGGCAGAAUUAUUAAGGAGCCGCCUCAACAUCCUGACCCGUGAUUUCCACCUGCAGCGGGAUUUUUUUGGAAUACAAGUCAUGAAAGGCUGGAAAAAUGCCCUAAAACCAACCCAACCUCUGGCUCAGUUCAGCACCAAAGGCUGUCCCCAAGAGCCACAGCCUGAACCAUUCCAGGGAUGGGCAUUCCACCUGCUCCAAUGCCUGAGCAACCUUCUGGUGGAGAAAUUCUUCCUGAUAUUUAAUCCAAACUCUCUUAAGGAACGUCUGGGAGAGAUUCCCAUUGGAUCAAGCUUCUCCAUGAGGUCACACGGGUAUAUCUGAUGCAGGAGUGGGUAUUUUUUUCCCCCAAUUUAUUAUAUUUUUUAAAAAAAAGAAGUUUAUUUUGAUGAGAAAGCAAAGGGAUCACGUUUCUUGAGCUGUUCCAUCUAUUCCUGCUCUUUAAUCCAGGGAUGGGAAUUGAUGCUGUGGUGGGAUUGCUCCUCUGGUGAGCUGGCAAUAAUGGAAAAGGAGAUUCCAUGGUUUCUGAAGGCUCCCUAACAGCUCUGUGGACAAUUCUGUGUGGUUUUUCUUACCUGGCUUCCGGAUUUAACAAUCAAUAAGUCCUGGGUAUUUUCUGCCCUUUCAGAAGUGUAAUUUCUCACACUGCAUUUAAAAAUUGGCUUUUUCCAAAGCCAUUUCUUGGAGUGGUUGGGGUUGAACAUCGCUGUUUAAGAUCAGCCCUUGACAGAAAUCAGUUUUCAAGUGAAAAAUGCUUUGCUGAGACACAGCAAGCUGAGAUCUGACAGUGCCUUCAGCAGCUAUUUUCAGUCUCUUCUCAGAGUUUUUAUGCUUCAUCCUGAGCCCUCCCUAGAGACUUGGUAAAGCAAAUAUGGAAAAUGCCACUGUGCUCUUUAUAAAAGUAGACUUAGAAGUGUUUCAAACCCCAAAGUUUAUCUGUCAGCAUCAGAGAAAGCUACAUUUCAUACACUGGGUGUGAUUUGUUUCUCAAUGACAGCUCCUGUUCAGAUCAUUUUGUUGUAAUUUUGACCGGGUUGGGUGAAUACUCUUUAAUUUUGGUGAAAUUUUGGGUUGUUUUGACAUUCCUGGUAUUUUUUCCAAAGGGAGCAGCUGUUAAAAAACUUAAUUGUUACGUGGAGUUUUCUCUUGGUGGCUUUGCUUCUUUUUUCAGAAUCACCUGAUUUUAGAAUAAGGGAAAGGAAAUGGGUAUUCACUCAAAAUUCUGCCACUGAUUUUCUCCAUGGCCUCUGGUCUCCUAUUUUUUUGCCAACCAAAUUCCAAGGACUUUCAAUCAAUGCAUUGAAAAUUUGGGUGGUAUUGUCCUGUAUCCCAGAAGAUUCCUUGGGAAUAUGACUCCACCUGGAGUGUGGGGAUGGAAUUAGAAGGUUUCUAUUGUGUAAUGGAGCAAAUCUAAGUCUUUUGUCACCUUGGAGGAUUUGGAAACUUAAUAUAAACAAAGAAAUAUUGACAGGUCUGGUUUCAGCUGUCCCCUUGCCCAUCCAAUCUCUAAGAUAUCCACGACAUAAAAAAAUUGAGAGUCUUUGCUCUUGAGCUGCCUUUCCAAAGGGGUUGAUCUGAUUUAUUCCACUGAAACUCUGAGUUCAAAGACAUUCCCUGUUUUGGGAGGGAUGUAAAAUUGUGGAAGAAAUUUCAUUGUGGUGUCUCCUCCCAGCUAAAUCAACUCCCUGAGUUAUAUUUAGCAGCGUGUGAUGCUCCUGAACUCGGGAACAAAUCUGUCUGGGCUUUCAGGGGGGCUUGGGAAUGAUGAAAACUGAUGCCCUGAAUGCAAUUUGUUUGGUUUUGUGCUUUCUGGCUUCAUAAACUCUUGGAAAUUGCUAUAAAUACAGCCAGGCACAAGGCAGCAGAACCAGAGGACGGCAUAAACCUCUCCACUGGAUUUUCCAGUUCCGUGCACACUGUCUUUGAAAUGCUCCUUUAAAAUAUGGAUUACUCAUUGUAUUCCUGUAGCCCUCAGAACAUGACAGGAAACCAGGGACUCUGAGGCCUUGUCACUCACAUCUGGGACAUCAGCAGGCUGAGGGAGAGGAGCCUAAAGGGUGAAGGCAAACAUUUAGCUGCAUAAAAAGAAGCGUUUUGACCCUUUCACGUGUCAGUCAUUCAUCCUGUCUGUGGCAGGAGACACCUGACAAAAGGCUGAAUUUUAUUGUCCCACCUUGUUACUGUCAGAUGCUCCUAAAUAACCUUUGUUGUUGCAGCUGCCAGGACUUCAGCUGAUAAAAGAUGUUUGGAUUCAGCUCAUCAUCCCUUUUCUGGAGCCAGAGAAGUGAGGCAACACUUCAUCUUCUCUGAAGGGUGGAAAACAGAACUUAAAGCCUCAAAGUCAAAGUUUUAAUUAUUGGGAAGCUGUUCCCUGCCCCAUUUGGGUAAAAUAAGAAAUUAGAGAAUAAGAGACAGAGUUUUUGGAAUAUUUGUUAAGCUGUGCAGGGCUGGAUUUCUUCUGGAAUUGAGACAUCAUUCCAGAAAACAAGGGAUAUAAUCUCCUCUGUAGCCUUGUGUUUCUUGAAAAUUAAGGUACAUUUCUUGUCUGCUGUGGGCAGAACUGUCCUGAAGCCCUAAAAGAAUAUAAGUGCUUUGAAUACAGUUAGCUUUCAGGCAAAAAAAAAAAAAAAAAAGUAUUAAAAUGAUGGGCAAAAAUUAUUCCUCCCCUCCCUUCCAUCAAGGCGCCCUUUUGAUGUUUGACACUCUGAUUAUUUUCUGAAAUUUAAAAAAAAAAAAAUAUCCACAUCCUGGUCUGCACAACAUUGAGGUCACUUCUCCUUGGUGGGUUUGACGUUGCAGGCAAGAACUGGAUCUUUGUGAGUGUUAGAGCACGUCAUGAGAAUUAGAUCAAGGUUUAUUGAGCCUUUCAGAAUCCCCUUCAAUCACCAGUGGAGAUCAGGAUGGACAGGCUCUACCUAGAGGUGCAAUUUCUGUAAUGGGUGAGGAGGAGGAAAUCAAUGGCAACCUCUGCCUGUCCUCUGGCACCACCACCAAAUAAAUCCUUUGCCUUCCCUCCA